RNAcentral lists this long non-coding RNA (241 nucleotides) under Lathyrus oleraceus (garden pea). Its description in RNAcentral is "Pisum sativum (pea) long non-coding RNA (PSAT_LNC029764)". The record is from RNAcentral. Lineage: Eukaryota; Viridiplantae; Streptophyta; Magnoliopsida; Fabales; Fabaceae.
UAAUUACAUCUUCACCUUCUAAACCUUCACUAGAGGAGCUUGUCAAGCAAAUGGUUGUAAAUAGUCUCCAAUUUCAGCAGCGAAUAGAUUCUAGUAUUCAAACUUUGCAAACACAAAUUGGACAGCUUGCCACUUCAAUGAAUAUCAUGCAACCCUCAAGGAUCAAACCAACUACCUGCCCAAACAGUAGUGAAUCCAAAAUGGCUCAAUGUGAGUGCAAUUUCCUUGAGAUCCAAAUAAG